Molecule: ribosomal RNA, 288 nt
Filed under: uncultured bacterium
Lineage: Bacteria
Description: partial 16S ribosomal RNA
Rfam family: Bacterial small subunit ribosomal RNA
Source: RNAcentral
GACGAACGCUGGCGGCGUGCUUAACACAUGCAAGUCGAGCGGUAAGGCCCUUUCGGGGGUACACGAGCGGCGAACGGGUGAGUAACACGUGGGUGACCUGCCCUCAGCUCUGGGAUAAGCCUGGGAAACCGGGUCUAAUACUGGAUAUGACUCCAUGACGCAUGUUGUGGGGUGGAAAGCCUUGUGCGGCUGAGGAUGGGCCCGCGGCCUAUCAGCUUGUUGGUGGGGGAUGGCCUACCAAGGCGACGACGGGUAGCCGGCCUGAGAGGGCGACCGGCCACACUGGGA